GUUCUCUCCUCCAUCACAGUGAUCACGAAGGAGCAGUCCUGACUGUCGGUCUCAGUGUGACUCUGUGUGUGUGUGUCUGUCUGGUUUCUUGUGUCUCGGGGUUUGUCAGUGUGUGUUUGGCUCUCCCGGGGUACAUCUGUCCUUGUACUGCUGUGUGUCUAAGCCUGUUAUCCAGGUGACUCUGCCCAUGUGGACUGACCCUCCAGUGUCUGUCCUGGUUUCUUUGUGGGGUGGGCAGUCUUGGCACAAAUCUUGUGUGGUCUGCGUCGGCCUGUCCUUGACCUCUGUGUUUUGCUCUGUCAGUCUGUAAAUCUACCAAUGUACUUGAAUCUCUAUGUUGUUCCUCAUUUCUUUAUGCGUCUAUCAGUUGUGUCAUUCUGUGUGUGUGAGUGUACGUGUAUGAUGUGUUUCAACUCAGGGGACCAGCCUGCUGCAAAAUCCUCUCAUGGGGAGUGCCCCUAAAGAAGCUACUUAGGAGAAUGUGGAGGUUGAUGGCUUCGCUAGAGCACAGCCCAGCUUACUACCAGCUAGGCUGGGACUGCCAGUCCAACCCUGCGGCUUACAGCUUGGGAGUCCGGCAAGGAGCCCAUACAGAGUAGCGGACGCGCACGGAGACAACUACAAAGGGACUCACACAGGCACAAACGCAGCUGCGCCCUUCUCGGCGUGGGUAUUCGCAGACCCGCCACGAAGCUGCCGAGAGGUGUCCUCCUUCCAGACCCCCCAAACGAAAAGAAAGCGAAAAGCCAACCUUUCGCCUCCAUUCUGCACACAUUUGGAGAGUCCUUGGUGGCGAGCGACCUGCAGAAUCGCUUUCAUCGCGGCGUCCCUGGACGGGCGGAGACAGCCCCGGUGACCGAGCCCCUCAGCCCGGGACUGAGCCUCCUUGAGAGAGAUCCAUGCCAGCCACUGCUGCCUUCGGGGAGGACUUGCAGCCAGGUUUAAGGACGAGCGAUGGGUGCCAGGGAGACAGACUGACGCCCAGACGACCCGAUCCAUCAGAGACAGGUAACUCUGUCCUGCCGGCUUUCUGGGCGCCCAGACCAGUCCUUAGCCAGAGGAUCUGGGGCCGCACAGCUCCCGGACUGGAAGGGGUGAUCCGGGGGCGAGGGACUGUGAGAGUCAGCCCACCCGGCCUCCUCCCUCCCUGCGGCGGCGAGGUGGGAAGGGCCAGGAUCGGAGCUUAGCACCUCCCCCAGAAAUGCAGCACUUGGCCCCCCUCAUCCCCGCCCUCAGCGCUCCCUCUUUCCCUUGCUCCCCCCGCCCGGCCUCCUUCCCAAGGGCGCCCUUCUCCUGCCCCCCUCACGUCUGAAUCCCUCCGUGUCCCCUUUCUCUUCUGCUUGCCCCCUCCUCACGCCCCCUGCCUCCCGGUGUUUCCCCUCUCCACCCGCCGCCCCCGCACCGCCUGAUUCCGAGGGGCGGGAGCG
This is a long non-coding RNA of Lemur catta (Ring-tailed lemur), 1427 nucleotides long. RefSeq lists it as uncharacterized. The transcript has 3 exons. The record is from RefSeq and is a predicted model, not a curated record. NCBI's taxonomy places the organism in Eukaryota, Metazoa, Chordata, Mammalia, Primates, Lemuridae.